UGUGUGUGUAGAAAGAGAAAGAAGGGAAAACAAAUAUGGUAAUCUGCUAACAAUUAGUAAGUCAAAGUGAAGGGUAUGUGGCCAUUCGUUGUACUGUCUUCUCAGCUUUGCUGUUGAAAUUUUGCAAAAUCACAAGUGUAGAAUUUGAGUGUAGCCUGAUGUGGGGUGAACGACUGUAAGAGGGGAAAAGACGGUUGAGCAGACUUGGCAGGAGCCAGGAGAGGUAUGGCAACUCCAGACUGCUUCUGGACCAGAUUCCUAGUCCCAGUGAAAAUCAGGCAAAAUUCUAAGCUGCCAAACUGGCAACAAACAUGGGACCUGCAGCUUAGUGCACACCUGGAAGCUUUGGGUCAGCCCUACCAUCUGGGGACCAGAUGUGGGCGCAGCAGACAAAUUCCAGGCCUACUAACAAGCCAAGAACUCCCAAUAAUGCCACGUGUAGCUUUCAGAGGCUCAGGACUGAGAAAUGCUGAAUGAUCGAUGGUUGGCUGUUGUUCCAGAGGCCAGACAGGAUCAAGACCAGCAGGAACUGACACGUCUGCCUGUUGGCCAAGGAGGCCAAAAGCCCGCCUGAGAGGGAAGAUGGCAUCUUCUCCAACCAUGCCUUCUUGGUAUUUUACAAACACCUCCCCACCACUCCUUGACCUGUUUUUAUGCUUCAGCACAUACCAAGAACAGGUGAGAUCUGUUAUAUUUCUUUCUUAGAAGUCUGGAAACUAUUCUUUGAUGGAAAAAGAGUCUAAUGAUAACUUAUGAUUUCUUCAAAAAAGAGCAUUAGCCUGAACUUAAUGUGUUUCAUCCUAUUGGAAAAAUAGAGGUCUGAUCGCAUGGUUUCAUUUCCAUGAGGUUGAAAAGGUAACAUUUAUGGGAGCAUCGGGUCAGUUCAGUCGGUUCAGCAUCAGACUUUUGAUUUCAGCUCAGGUCAUGAUCUCACAGUUCAUGAGAUCAAGCCCCGUGUUGGGCUCUGCACUGACAGUGCUGAGCCUGCUUAGGAUUCUCUCUCUCCCUCUCUCUCUCUGCCCUUCACCCACUCUCCCCUCCUCUCUAAACAAAUAAAAAAAAAAUCUUUAAAAAAAAGAA
This is a long non-coding RNA of Acinonyx jubatus (cheetah), 1080 nucleotides long. RefSeq lists it as uncharacterized. The transcript is spliced from 2 exons. NCBI's taxonomy places the organism in Eukaryota, Metazoa, Chordata, Mammalia, Carnivora, Felidae. The record is from RefSeq and is a predicted model, not a curated record.